CCUACGGGUGGCAGCAGUGGGGAAUAUUGCGCAAUGGGCGAAAGCCUGACGCAGCGACGCCGCGUGUGGGAUGAAGGUCUUCGGAUUGUAAACCACUGUCGGGAGGGACGAAGCUCUGACGGUACCUCCAAAGGAAGCACCGGCUAACUCUGUGCCAGCAGCCGCGGUAAUACAGAGGGUGCAAGCGUUGUCCGGAAUCACUGGGCGUAAAGGGCGCGUAGGCGGCCCGGUAAGUAGGGGGUGAAAUCCUGGGGCUCAACCUCAGGACUGCCUUCUAGACUGCCAGGCUUGAGCACGGUAGAGGCUGGUGGAAUUCCCGGUGUAGCGGUGGAAUGCGUAGAGAUCGGGAAGAACAUCGGUGGCGAAGGCGGCCAGCUGGGCCGUUGCUGACGCUGAGGCGCGACAGCGUGGGGAGCAAACAGGAUUAGAUACCCUGGUAGUC
RNAcentral lists this ribosomal RNA (442 nucleotides) under uncultured bacterium. RNAcentral describes it as "bacterial SSU rRNA". It matches the Rfam family "Bacterial small subunit ribosomal RNA", at positions 338 to 795 of the family's 1533-position model. The record is from RNAcentral.